Molecule: long non-coding RNA, 1510 nt
Organism: Gallus gallus (chicken)
Lineage: Eukaryota; Metazoa; Chordata; Aves; Galliformes; Phasianidae
Source: Ensembl
GAGAGAUGUCUGGCAGCAGAAACACCAGGUGGAGUUUCCCGACUGAGAGCUGAGCGCCAGCUGCCCUCAUCCUGACACUGAGAGAGGUCAAGAGGAUAAUCCUCAGUGCUACACGAGGCUAAGAGGUGUAUUUUCACCUCUGGGCAGAAGGAGCAGCACGAGCACUUGCAGAGUGGUGCUUUGGAGGAGAGCACUGGGUCAGCUGCUCAGCGCAUUGCACGCUGGACUGCUUUGGCUAUCAGACAGGAUCUAAAAGAAGACAUAGGGCCAUGAACUCGAACGGUGCUCCUUGCUGUGUUGCCGGAGAAUCUUCUGAACACCAAACUUGAUCUCAAAACUGAAAUGUCCAACACCUAGAAGUGGUGUCUAUUGAUAGCAAAAACCUCAAAUUUGUUUUCAAGGUUUACACUGCAUGCUGUGAAAGGUGACGUCCCUCGCAGUAAUACAGCAUGGAACUCCUUGGGCUGCAUAGGAAGUCCCUCCUACAGACAAGGACAAGAAGAGGACAAAGAAGAAACAAUGAUAAAUCUGAGCAGAUGACAGUGACCAUUCAGCAAACAAGGUGGUGCCCCCCCAUAACACAGAGUAUUUGUUGGUUACAUAUAGCACAGUGCUCAGUCAAUGCAGGCUGUGUUAACAAAAGCUCACCAAUUCACUGGUCACAUGUCCUAGGAGUUAUGGGAGACUGGAAAGUUGCCUGGUUCAUAUGGGGUGUGCAUAUACAUAUAUAAAAUCUUAUGAAUUUACAUGUGCAUUUGUGUCUGUGUACCGUGACUCUGUUUUAUAAUCAGCAAUGAUCGUUUGCUCCUUGAGGCUGGCAUCCUGUGUGUACUUGGGCGGACUCCAUUGCGUUUUAUUUCAGGAGAGCUCCUGUAAUGUGAAAAGUGCAUCUUUAUGAGGAAAGUUAGACCUGCAGAAGGACACACAUUCUUCUCCUCGACUGGGCUUACAUCCCUGCGGCCAUUGGCCCCCCCAGCUCUCGUGCCAGGCACAGCGAGCAAUGCUGCAGACAGGCUGAUGGAUCCUUGUUUUGCCCUUGGAGCUGCCAGCGAGAGCACACUCAGAUUCUAUUCGACAACAAACCAACAGGAUGUUUCUUAUUGCUACAGAAAGCUCCAGAAGAGUAGAUCCAGAGUGCACCGUUUUUGCAGUUGCCUGAUUUGAGAGGUGGGGCGGACCCAGGGCUUUCUGGGCUUGAUGUGGCAGAAGCCACCAGGUUGUACCAGGCAGGCCGUGCCACAGACCUCUGAGUACUUGCUUCCCUCACGACAGGUGUGUACAUCUGCAGUGCAGAUUAUGCAUGGGGCACAUUGUUAUUUGUUUCUUUUCUGCCUGGAAAAAUAUUUUCCUUUUAUGUAGCUCAGUGUCAUCUAAAUGAAUGAGUGCUGCCUUUCUGUCAUUUUGAAGCACAAGUAGAUUCUGCAGACACAUAUUGCAGCACGUAGCAUUCAGUGUUUAAGCUGUCUGUUUGAGCUCUACCCGAACACCGUGGCCUUGAGAUGAAUGCGUU